UUAAGGCCGAGAGCUGAUGACGAGUUGUCUUUUAGAUGACGAAGUGGUUGAUGCCAUGCUUCCAAGAAAAGCUUCUAAGCUUCAGGUAACCAGGAACCGUACCCCAAACCGACACAGGUGGUUGGGUAGAGAAUACCAAGGCGCUUGAGAGAACUCGGGUGAAGGAACUAGGCAAAAUGGCACCGUAACUUCGGGAGAAGGUGCGCCGGUGAGGGUGAAGGACUUGCUCCGUAAGCCCAUGCCGGUCGAAGAUACCAGGCCGCUGCGACUGUUUAUUAAAAACACAGCACUCUGCAAACACGAAAGUGGACGUAUAGGGUGUGACGCCUCUCCGGUGCCGGAAGGUUAAUUGAUGGGGUUAGCUAACGCGAAGCUCUUGAUCGAAGCCCCGGUAAACGGCGGCCGUAACUAUAACGGUCCUAAGGUAGCGAAAUUCCUUGUCGGGUAAGUUCCGACCUGCACGAAUGGCGUAACGAUGGCGGCGCUGUCUCCACCCGAGACUCAGUGAAAUUGAAAUCGCUGUGAAGAUGCAGUGUAUCCGCGGCUAGACGGAAAGACCCCGUGAACCUUUACUAUAGCUUUGCACUGGACUUUGAAUUUGCUUGUGUAGGAUAGGUGGGAGGCUUUGAAGCGUGGACGCCAGUUCGCGUGGAGCCAACCUUGAAAUACCACCCUGGCAACUUUGAGGUUCUAACUCAGGUCCGUUAUCCGGAUCGAGGACAGUGUAUGGUGGGUAGUUUGACUGGGGCGGUCUCCUCCUAAAGAGUAACGGAGGAGUACGAAGGUGCGCUCAGACCGGUCGGAAAUCGGUCGUAGAGUAUAAAGGCAAAAGCGCGCUUGACUGCGAGACAGACACGUCGAGCAGGUACGAAAGUAGGUCUUAGUGAUCCGGUGGUUCUGUAUGGAAGGGCCAUCGCUCAACGGAUAAAAGGUACUCCGGGGAUAACAGGCUGAUACCGCCCAAGAGUUCAUAUCGACGGCGGUGUUUGGCACCUCGAUGUCGGCUCAUCACAUCCUGGGGCUGAAGCCGGUCCCAAGGGUAUGGCUGUUCGCCAUUUAAAGUGGUACGCGAGCUGGGUUUAGAACGUCGUGAGACAGUUCGGUCCCUAUCUGCCGUGGACGUUUGAGAUUUGAGAGGGGCUGCUCCUAGUACGAGAGGACCGGAGUGGACGAACCUCUGGUGUUCCGGUUGUCACGCCAGUGGCAUUGCCGGGUAGCUAUGUUCGGAAUAGAUAACCGCUGAAAGCAUCUAAGCGGGAAACUAGCCUCAAGAUGAGAUCUCACUGGGACCUUGAGUCCCCUGAAGGGCCGUCGAAGACUACGACGUUGAUAGGUUGGGUGUGUAAGCGCUGUGAGGCGUUGAGCUAACCAAUACUAAUUGCCCGUGAGGCUUGACCU
RNAcentral lists this ribosomal RNA (1398 nucleotides) under metagenome. RNAcentral's name for it is "bacterial LSU rRNA". It matches the Rfam family "Bacterial large subunit ribosomal RNA", at positions 1550 to 2925 of the family's 2925-position model. The record is from RNAcentral.